GACGAACGCUGGCGGCGUGCUUAACACAUGCAAGUCGAACGGAAAGGCCCUGCUUGCAGGGUACUCGAGUGGCGAACGGGUGAGUAACACGUGGGUGAUCUGCCCUGCACUUCGGGAUAAGCUUGGUAAACUGGGUCUAAUACCGGAUAGGAGCCAUCUUUAGUGUGGUGGUUGGAAAGUUUUUUCGGUGUAGGAUGAGCUCGCGGCCUAUCAGCUUGUUGGUGGGGUAAUGGCCUACCAAGGCGGCGACGGGUAGCCGGCCUGAGAGGGUGUACGGCCACAUUGGGACUGAGAUACGGCCCAGACUCCUACGGGAGGCAGCAGUGGGGAAUAUUGCACAAUGGGCGCAAGCCUGAUGCAGCGACGCCGCGUGGGGGAUGAAGGCCUUCGGGUUGUAAACUCCUUUCGCUAGGGACGAAGCUUUUUUGUGACGGUACCUAGAUAAGAAGCACCGGCUAACUACGUG
Molecule: ribosomal RNA, 466 nt
Filed under: uncultured bacterium
Lineage: Bacteria
Description: partial 16S ribosomal RNA
Rfam family: Bacterial small subunit ribosomal RNA
Source: RNAcentral